GCCUUGAUAGUAUAGCGGUUAGUACGUCAGUCUCAUAUCAUCUCAACAGUUGGUUAUCUGAUAACCAGGGUUCGAUUCCCUGUCAGGGCA
This is a non-coding RNA of Talaromyces proteolyticus, 90 nucleotides long. Lineage: Eukaryota; Fungi; Ascomycota; Eurotiomycetes; Eurotiales; Trichocomaceae. The record is from the annotation of a RefSeq genome assembly.